GAUGAACGCUGGCGGCGUGCCUAACACAUGCAAGUCGAGCGAAGCAUUUAACAUGAAGUUUUCGGACGGAAUGUUAUCUGACUGAGCGGCGGACGGGUGAGUAACGCGUGGGUAACCUGCCUUAUACAGGGGGAUAACAGUUAGAAAUGACUGCUAAUACCGCAUAAGCGCACAGUACCGCAUGGUAGUGUGUGAAAAACUCCGGUGGUAUAAGAUGGACCCGCGUCUGAUUAGCCAGUUGGCGGGGUAACGGCCCACCAAAGCGACGAUCAGUAGCCGACCUGAGAGGGUGACCGGCCACAUUGGGACUGAGACACGGCCCAAACUCCUACGGGAGGCAGCAGUGGGGAAUAUUGCACAAUGGGGGAAACCCUGAUGCAGCAACGCCGCGUGAGUGAAGAAGUAUUUCGGUAUGUAAAGCUCUAUCAGCAGGGAAGAAGAUGACGGUAC
RNAcentral lists this ribosomal RNA (450 nucleotides) under uncultured bacterium. RNAcentral's name for it is "bacterial SSU rRNA". It matches the Rfam family "Bacterial small subunit ribosomal RNA", at positions 28 to 478 of the family's 1533-position model. The record is from RNAcentral.